CAGAGGUGUGGGAUGGGCUGGAUUUCUGGAACUUAACUUCUGUACCACAAUUAAAUAACCUUUAACUUCAUCACCAUAUUUUAUUUUCUGUGUAAAAAAUUACAAUCCUAGAAACGCUAAUGGCACAAAACAUAUUUCCGGAAAAGACACCUCUUCGUGAAGAAAAACAAAAUUAGCUUGAUUUGCCAUUAUCGAAUACAGCUGAAUAUUGGAAUGAGAAUACCAACUGCUCCUCAUACAUUGCUAACUCACCCUCUUCAGACCAGUCAAGGUGUUCCAGAAGCCUCCGUUUUGGUGAAUACUUCCUCUGAAGAGCGUCAUUGACUCGUUGUAGUCUGUGACUCUGCACAGUGCAGGUUUUCAAGAUCAAAGCCUCAAGUUACAAAAACAAAGCAUAUGGAAAUGCGGCAGAAGCCACUGUAUAGGCUGCCUUUUCCUGCUUUAGACCAUAAACCCUCCAAUGCCCUAUACCUGCCAUUGCAUUACAUUACAUUGCAAGGUAUUUAGCAGACGCUCUUAUCCAGAGCCUCGUACAAGGAAGUGCAGAUCGAACACAGGGACAAGUAUGGAGUCCUAGAGUGAACGUACAGAUACAAUCGGAACACCUUGAAGAAUACAUCAAUUUAUGAACUAGCAUACCAUGGUUGGCAGCUAGAAUACCCAGAGUACAACAAUACAAUAUCUAAUACAAUACAGCAAUAUCUAUAUCUAGAUAUAAGUGCCAUUAUAAUCUAUGGCAUACACAAGGCUAAUCAUGAGUGUGAGGUAGGGAGGGAAAGGUGCAGCCUGAGGAGAUGAGUCUUCAGUCUGCGUUUGAAAACGGUCAGAGACCCUGAUGUUGUGACAUUGCAAAUCCAUUUGGUCAUCAGAACCUUAUUUGAUUUUGGGCAUGGGUUCAUUUAAUGUAUAAGAUAAGCGCUGCAUUCCAAAUAAAUGGGCUGACUUCACAAUUAAACUUUAUUUUAUAGAUUCUAGAUUAACCACUGUCUCCGUUAACGAUUAUGAUAGUGCUUAUGAAGGCAGUAUGAAGGCACCGAUUAUGAAGGCACUGGCUAUCACUAUUAGAGCUAAUAAUAAGAUAAUAGAGAACUUCAUAUUAUGUACGCAAAUGUUAUUUUAAUUAUUUAAUUCAAAACCCUAUAAUCGUAAUGAAAGGAGAGUACAUCUAUUGGAGAGAAGCUCACAUGUCCUGCCUCACUAAUGUCACAUAUUAGGGGAUUCAACAGGUUGGGUGCAUUUCUCUGGAUUUUCAACAAAGUACUUGGCACUAGAGCAGGACAAGGAAUCGGUGACUCUAAAGUAUGGGACAGAGAAAGCAUGAUGGUGGAAGUGAUUGCAUAGAGUAGCGGAACCUACAUUUUCUGAGUCAGUUACUCACUCAAUGAGUAAAUGCAUUCACUGUGGCCCUUAUGAACGUCUUUGUUCAAAUGGGACAUUAUGUUCCGAUAUGAUCAAUAUGUUGGUGCAGCACUGUUUAAUUCAACCGGUGGGAAUGUUACUAACAGUUUUAACAGGUCAUCUUGUGAGCACUUCAGUAUAAUGAAAUUAUUCAACCAUUCAAACGCAGUGAGAAUGUUUUUCAGGAACUGCACAUGGAGGUUUUUGGUUUUACAUACAGUAAUGCAUUCAAAG
Molecule: long non-coding RNA, 1632 nt
Organism: Conger conger (European conger)
Lineage: Eukaryota; Metazoa; Chordata; Actinopteri; Anguilliformes; Congridae
Exons: 3
Source: RefSeq, a predicted model, not a curated record